Molecule: unclassified non-coding RNA, 200 nt
Filed under: Hevea brasiliensis (rubber tree)
Lineage: Eukaryota; Viridiplantae; Streptophyta; Magnoliopsida; Malpighiales; Euphorbiaceae
Source: RNAcentral
CGUAUUUGUCGAGCGCGCUUAGAACGCCGCCAGCAUUGGCGAAAUUGCCGAACUCAGGCUUUCCGGCAAACAUUUCGGCAGUGAAUGCGAUCAUGGCAACGGCCCCGAUCAUGACCAGGCCGAUUCCGAUCACGAGGUCGACCUUCUCGUACGCGCUGAAGGCUGGCGUAAUUCGCUUGUCGACGACGUAGCUUUGCUGG